CCUACGGGAGGCAGCAGUCGAGAAUCAUUCACAAUGGGGGCAACCCUGAUGGUGCGACGCCGCGUGGGGGAAUGAAGGUCUUCGGAUUGUAAACCCCUGUCAUGUGGGAGCAAAUUAAAAAGAUAGUACCACAAGAGGAAGAGACGGCGAACUCUGUGCCAGCAGCCGCGGUAAUACGGAGGAUGCGAGCGUUAUCCGGAUUUAUUGGGUUUAAAGGGUGCGUAGGCGGAAUGCAAAGUCAGCGGUAAAAUCGCGGGGCUAAACCUCGCUCCGCCGUUGAAACUGGCGUUCUUGAGUGGGCGAGAGGUAUGUGGAAUGCGUGGUGUAGCGGUGAAAUGCGUAGAUAUCACGAAGAACACCGAUUGCGAAGGCAGCAUACCGGCGCAAAACUGACGCUGAGGCACGAAAGCGUGGGUAUCGAACAGGAUUAGAUACCCCUGUAGUC
This 445-nucleotide ribosomal RNA is filed under the name uncultured bacterium. Its description in RNAcentral is "partial 16S ribosomal RNA". It matches the Rfam family "Bacterial small subunit ribosomal RNA", at positions 338 to 795 of the family's 1533-position model. The record is from RNAcentral.